RNAcentral lists this non-coding RNA (46 nucleotides) under Trichobilharzia regenti. The record is from RNAcentral. Lineage: Eukaryota; Metazoa; Platyhelminthes; Trematoda; Strigeidida; Schistosomatidae.
GUUCUGCUGAAGGGUCCCAAACUAGGACGAGACAGCUGUCCAGUAC